GAAAUGCGAUAAGUAAUGUGAAUUGCAGAAUUCAGUGAAUCAUCGAAUCUUUGAACGCACAUUGCGCCCGCCAGUAUUCUGGCGGGCAUGCCUGUUCGAGCGUCAUUUCAACCAUCAAGCCCCGCGCUUGUGUUGGGGACCUGCGGCUGCCGCAGGCCCUGAAAACCAGUGGCGGGCUCGCUGUCACACCGAGCGUAUGGGGACUUUUGUCACACGUUUGCGGUGCGGACCGGCGCCUGCUUGACUUUUCUGAUUAUCCAGGUUGACCUCGGAUCAGGUAGGGAUACCCGCUGAACUUAAGC
Molecule: unclassified non-coding RNA, 302 nt
Filed under: plant metagenome
Description: partial contains 5.8S ribosomal RNA, internal transcribed spacer 2, and large subunit ribosomal RNA
Rfam family: 5.8S ribosomal RNA (bases 1-105)
Source: RNAcentral